CCUACGGGAGGCUGCAGUGAGGAAUAUUGGUCAAUGGACGAGAGUCUGAACCAACCAAGUAGCGUGAAGGAUGACUGCCCUAUGGGUUGUAAACUUCUUUUAUAUGGGAAUAAAAUGUUCCACGUGUGGGAUUUUGUAUGUACCAUAUGAAUAAGGAUCGGCUAACUCCGUGCCAGCAGCCGCGGUAAUACUGAGGAUCCGAGCGUUAUCCGGAUUUAUUGGGUUUAAAGGGAGCGUAGGUGGAUUGUUAAGUCAGUUGUGAAAGUUUGCGGCUCAACCGUAAAAUUGCAGUUGAAACUGGCAGUCUUGAGUACAGUAGAGGUGGGCGGAAUUCGUGGUGUAGCGGUGAAAUGCUUAGAUAUCACGAAGAACUCCGAUUGCGAAGGCAGUUCACUGGACUGCAACUGACACUGAGGCUCGAAAGUGUGGGUAUCAAACAGGAUUAGAUACCCUAGUAGUC
RNAcentral lists this ribosomal RNA (460 nucleotides) under uncultured bacterium. RNAcentral's name for it is "partial 16S ribosomal RNA". It matches the Rfam family "Bacterial small subunit ribosomal RNA", at positions 338 to 795 of the family's 1533-position model. The record is from RNAcentral.